GACGAACGCUGGCGGCGUGCCUAAUACAUGCAAGUAGAACGCUGAAGAGAGGAGCUUGCUCUUCUUGGAUGAGUUGCGAACGGGUGAGUAACGCGUAGGUAACCUGCCUUGUAGCGGGGGAUAACUAUUGGAAACGAUAGCUAAUACCGCAUAACAAUGGAUGACACAUGUCAUUUAUUUGAAAGGGGCAAUUGUUCCACUACAAGAUGGACCUGCGUUGUAUUAGCUAGUAGGUGAGGUAAUGGCUCACCUAGGCGACGAUACAUAGCCGACCUGAGAGGGUAAUCGCCAAAACUGGAACUGAGAACCGGCCAGAAUUCUUACGGGGGGCAGAGGAAGGGAAUCUUCGGCAAUGGGGCAAACCCUGACGGAGCAAGGCGGGGGGGUGGAGGAAGGUUUUCGAUCGUAAAGCUCUGUUGUAAGUCAAGAACGGGUGUGAGAGUGGAAAGUUCACACUGUGACGGUAGCUUACCAGAAAGGGACGGCUAACUACGUG
Molecule: ribosomal RNA, 496 nt
Filed under: uncultured bacterium
Lineage: Bacteria
Description: partial 16S ribosomal RNA
Rfam family: Bacterial small subunit ribosomal RNA
Source: RNAcentral